GUAACCUUACCAGGUCUUGACAUCCCGAUGCUAUUUCUAGAGAUAGAAAGUUACUUCGGUACAUCGGUGACAGGUGGUGCAUGGUUGUCGUCAGCUCGUGUCGUGAGAUGUUGGGUUAAGUCCCGCAACGAGCGCAACCCCUAUUGUUAGUUGCCAUCAUUCAGUUGGGCACUCUAGCGAGACUGCCGGUAAUAAACCGGAGGAAGUGGGGAUGACGUCAAAUCAUCAUGCCCCUUAUGACCUGGGCUACACACGUGCUACAAUGGUUGGUACAACGAGUUGCGAGUCGGUGACGGCGAGCUAAUCUCUUAAAGCCAAUCUCAGUUCGGAUUGUAGGCUGCAACUCGCCUACAUGAAGUCGGAAUCGCUAGUAAUCGUGGAUCAGAAUGUCACGGUGAAUACGUUCCCGGGUCUU
RNAcentral lists this ribosomal RNA (415 nucleotides) under uncultured Streptococcus sp. RNAcentral's name for it is "bacterial SSU rRNA". It matches the Rfam family "Bacterial small subunit ribosomal RNA", at positions 965 to 1382 of the family's 1533-position model. The record is from RNAcentral. Lineage: Bacteria; Bacillati; Bacillota; Bacilli; Lactobacillales; Streptococcaceae.